This 120-nucleotide ribosomal RNA is filed under the name Acanthamoeba castellanii str. Neff. Lineage: Eukaryota; Discosea; Longamoebia; Acanthamoebidae. The record is from RNAcentral.
GGAUACGGCCUUACUGCGGAGAAAGCACCGCUUCCCAUCCGAACAGCCGAAGUUCAGCUGCGCCAGGCGGUGUUAGUACUGGGGUGGGCGACCACACGUCGACGUUAUGUGAUGCGACAU